AUGUUAGCUUUUCGGGACACCUUGGAGUUGUGUGAGCUAGUUGAUCUUGGGUUCACCAGCCUACCUUUCACUUAUGAUAACAGACGAAGUGGGUCGACAAAUGUUAAAGUCAGACUUGAUCGGGCAGUGGCUACGAAUGAAUGGUGCAACUUGUUUGUGUUUGCUACAGUGGAACAUAUACCCUCUCCAUGCUCCGGUCAUGUUGCAGUUUUCCUCAAGGGAGAGCCGGAUUCGGGCCCCGUGGGGGGAAGGAGCAGGAGGUACGAGGUUUUCUGGGAGAGGGAUUCUAUGUUGCCUAAAGUGGUGGAAGAAGCAUGGGCUGCAGUAGGCAAGAUUCAAAAUCUUGCACAGCUAAGAGAUGCCUUGUCCAAAACUAUGACUGCUUUGGGCUCGUCGCCGACGGGAGAGAGGAGUUGUUGGAAGUUCAUUUGGAAUUGUGGAGCGCCUCCGACUGUUUUAAACUUUGCAUGGAGAGUUGCAACGGAUGGUUUGCCAACGUGGAAGAAUAAACACAAGAUAGGGCUGGAAACUACUGGUAUAUGCCCAGUUUGUGGCCUUGAGACUGAGGACAAUUUUCAUCCGUUUUUAAGAUGUCAAUUCGGUCGGGAUCUAUUUGUGGAAAUGGCAAAAGUCUGGAAGCUCCCUAGUCUACAAUCGAUAGCCAACUGUGGGAAGGAGUGGUUAUUGCAAGUUUUAGCUCCAAUGAGUGAGUUGGAGAGAUGCAUGUUGCUAAUGAUUUUCUGGAGAAGCUGGUUCGUAUGUAAUGAAAUGGUGCACCACAAGCCGGCCCCGCCGAUGGAAGUCUCUGUCAGAUUCUUGCGGAGCUACCUGGAGUCCCUUAUGGCGAUCAAACAUGACAAUGGAGCUGAUCCUGUUAAAGGUAAAUCAUAUAUCAACAUGGACGAUGGGGUGCAGCCGGUUAUACAAGUGACACGGUCACUUGGUUGGAUCAAACCGAGCCAGGGCUGGACUAAACUAAACAUUGAUGGUGCUUUUGGCUCGAACGAAGAUGCAGGUGCGGGGAUGAUUUUGAGGGAUUCAUCAGGGAAGAUUAUCUUCUCAGCUUGCAGAGCUUUGUAUUCAUGCAGGGAUGCGUUGGAGGCUGAGCUAUGUGCGUGUAUGGAGGGUUUAUCUUCCUCGAUUCAACGUACAUCACUACCAAUCGAAAUUGAGAUGGAUUCUUCGGUUGCAGUGUCCAUGAUCACAUGUGGGAGCAUGGAUCGCUCGAUAUAUUCUUCCCUACCGCCGUCGGGCCUAGCCUAUCUUCCUCCCCUCCUUCCGCCGUCGCCGGCUUGUGCCCGGAGGACGAUGGCGGUGGCGGGGGCUCUUCCUCCCUCCCGCGUCUCAGGGGUGACGGGGCCCCAACAUGCAUGGAGGUACGGCCGAUCUAGAUGCGACGGUGUUGGCUUCGACGACGACGGCAGUCGGCCCUGCCUCGGGCCACGAGCGGUGGCUGCAGCAGCUGGCCUGGAUCGGGCGGCGGCGCGAUGCGGUCUUCGGCGACAUGUCAUCUGGCUUUAG
This 1521-nucleotide ribosomal RNA is filed under the name Triticum aestivum (bread wheat). RNAcentral describes it as "partial small subunit ribosomal RNA". The record is from RNAcentral. Lineage: Eukaryota; Viridiplantae; Streptophyta; Magnoliopsida; Poales; Poaceae.